Brassica oleracea var. oleracea is the source of this 979-nucleotide long non-coding RNA. RefSeq lists it as uncharacterized. The transcript is spliced from 3 exons. Lineage: Eukaryota; Viridiplantae; Streptophyta; Magnoliopsida; Brassicales; Brassicaceae. The record is from RefSeq and is a predicted model, not a curated record.
UGAGUCUCCCAAGAGUUACAACUCCCACCAGGCUUGGAUAAAUAUUGGUACCAACUUCCGAGCAUUAAGUCUCGAGACCCUUCCCAGUACAGUGGUGUUUCUGCACCGGGUUGACUCCGCGCGGCUUCUUCUUCCUCAUGUGCACAUGUGACAUGUGGAAAGAUAUAUUCCCAGUUCAUUCUGGUGAAUCAACACUGUCUCAACCAUUUCUGAGGCCCAAAUGGGAGAACCAAGAACUUGAGUUAUUCUCCAGGAAACAGAGACUUGGAAGCCUGAAAACCAAGACCAUCUAGAUUCGAUCUUUAUUUUCUCAUAUCAAUUUUUACAUUGGAUGCGGUAACAGUAGUACUUUCGAUUGCGCUAAUAUUCAUUUUGUGUUAGGAUUCAGAUAAUUUUCUUUUUCGACUAUUGUUUUCUGCAGAUUCUCCAGUAAGGUGUAGCCGUGGAGCUAUAUAGUAUAGGCAGAAACAACUUUCUUUGGGUGUUCAGCUACUGAAGUUUGGAGAAGAGAGAAACCCUAGAAACAAGUACAGUCUUUGCUUUAAUGGGUUGCAAAUCUAAGGCUGUUGAGUCCCUGCCGCCUUCUACGACUGCACCAGCAACUGCUGUGGCGGUGACGUCGCUUGCUCAUGCGUUUCGAUUUCAUCCGACUGGUGAGGAAUUCAUGAACUAUUUAUUGAAGAGAAAGGUUUUGGGUAAAACGGUAAGCCUCAAUGCAAUUGGGGUGGUUGAUAUUUACAAGCAUGAGUCUUGGAACUUUUUGUUUUCUCUUUCUAUUCUUUAACGUAUCUGUUUGAUUUGGAUUUUUCUGUGAGUGAGAGAAGAUGCUAAGACAAUUCUUGGUCAUCUCAUCGUCUCCAUGGUCAAGAAAUUACUUGCUCAGAUGCAAGUAUAGUCUUAAUGUAAAAUUUCUCAUUCAUAUACUCUCAUAUGGGUUUGUGUUUAUUUUGUUAACUGGUCCGUGUAAGACUUUUUAGAG